AGAGUUUGAUCAUGGCUCAGAACGUACGCUGGCGGCACGCCUAACACAUGCAAGUCGAACGAAGUAGCAAUACUUAGUGGCAGACGGGUGAGUAACAUGUAGGUAUCUGCCCUUUGGCCUGGAAUAACACGAGGAAACUUGUGCUAAUACCGGAUAAGUCUUUACGGAGAAAGCUUUAUGCACCAUUGGAUGAGCCUGCACUUGAUUAGUUUGUUGGUGGGGUAAUGGCCUACCAAGACUGCGAUCAAUAGCUGAUUUGAGAGGAUGAUCAGCCACAUUGGGACUGAGACACGGCCCAAACUCCUACGGGAGGCAGCAGUGGGGAAUCUUGCACAAUGGAGGAAACUCUGAUGCAGCGAUGCCGCGUGAGUGAAGAAGGCCCUUGGGUUGUAAAGCUCUUUCGUCGGGGAAGAAAGUGACUGUACCCGAAUAAGAAGGUCCGGCUAACUUCGUGCCAGCAGCCGCGGUAAUACGAAGGGACCUAGCGUAGUUCGGAAUUACUGGGCUUAAAGAGUUCGUAGGUGGUUGAAAAAGUUGGUGGUGAAAUCCCAGAGCUUAACUCUGGAACUGCCAUCAAAACUUUUCAGCUAGAGUAUGAUAGAGGAAAGCAGAAUUUCUAGUGUAGAGGUGAAAUUCGUAGAUAUUAGAAAGAAUACCAAUUGCGAAGGCAGCUUUCUGGAUCAUUACUGACACUGAGGAACGAAAGCAUGGGUAGCGAAGAGGAUUAGAUACCCUCGUAGUCCAUGCCGUAAACGAUGUGUGUUAGACGUUGGAAAUUUAUUUUCAGUGUCGCAGCGAAAGCGAUAAACACACCGCCUGGGGAGUACGACCGCAAGGUUAAAACUCAAAUGAAUUGAC
This 858-nucleotide ribosomal RNA is filed under the name uncultured Alphaproteobacteria bacterium. Its description in RNAcentral is "bacterial SSU rRNA". It matches the Rfam family "Bacterial small subunit ribosomal RNA", at positions 8 to 914 of the family's 1533-position model. Lineage: Bacteria; Pseudomonadati; Pseudomonadota; Alphaproteobacteria. The record is from RNAcentral.